This 800-nucleotide ribosomal RNA is filed under the name Helminthosporium aquaticum. RNAcentral describes it as "SSU rRNA". It matches the Rfam family "Eukaryotic small subunit ribosomal RNA", at positions 116 to 924 of the family's 1831-position model. Lineage: Eukaryota; Fungi; Ascomycota; Dothideomycetes; Pleosporales; Massarinaceae. The record is from RNAcentral.
UUUAUUUGAUAGUACCUUACUACUUGGAUACCUGUGGUAAUUCUAGAGCUAAUACAUGCUAAAAACCCCGACUUCGGGAGGGGUGUAUUUAUUAGAUAAAAAACCAAUGCCCUUCGGGGCUCCUUGGUGAUUCACAAUAACUUCUCAGAUCGCAUGGCCUUGCGCCGGCGACGGUUCAUUCAAAUUUCUGCCCUAUCAACUUUCGAUGGUAAGGUAUUGGCUUACCAUGGUUUCUACGGGUAACGGGGAAUUAGGGUUCGAUUCCGGAGAGUUAGCCUGAGAAACGGCUAACACAUCCAAGGAAGGCAGCAGGCGCGCAAAUUACCCAAUCCUGAUACAGGGAGGUAGUGACAAUAAAUACUGAUACAGGGCUCUUUUGGGUCUUGUAAUUGGAAUGAGUACAAUUUAAACCUCUUAACGAGGAACAAUUGGAGGGCAAGUCUGGUGCCAGCAGCCGCGGUAAUUCCAGCUCCAAUAGCGUAUAUUAAAGUUGUUGCAGUUAAAAAGCUCGUAGUUGAACCUUUGGCCUGGCUGGCAGGUCCGCCUCACCGCGUGCACUUGUCCGGCCGGGCCUUUUCUUCUGGAGAACCGCAUGCCCUUCACUGGGUGGUGUUGGGGACCAGGACUUUUACUUUGAAAAAAUUAGAGUGUUCAAAGCAGGCCUUUGCUCGAAUAUUACAGCAUGGAAUAAUGAAAUAGGACGCGCGGUUCUAUUUUUGUUGGUUUCUAGGACCGCCGUAAUGAUUAAUAGGGACAGUCGGGGGCAUCAGUAUUCAAUUGUCAGAGGUGAAAUUCUUGGA